Molecule: long non-coding RNA, 3435 nt
Organism: Anopheles stephensi (Asian malaria mosquito)
Lineage: Eukaryota; Metazoa; Arthropoda; Insecta; Diptera; Culicidae
Exons: 2
Source: RefSeq, a predicted model, not a curated record
UCCACAUUACUUCGUGAAAAUAACUACUCUAAUAUAGUUUCUAACUAAACGCGUAACGUCAAAACUAUAAACACAAGAUGCUCAGCAAAACUAAAAUAUUGUGUCACGACUCUUUGCCACCGAUCGAUUGCUAUUAAGCCGAGCAACCGUUUAGCCCGCUUAUGUCUCUUUUUUAUCCUUAAGCAAACUCCAACAUCACCGCCAAAAUGUACUCCACCUACGAACCCUCGUCCCAUUUCCACCCAUGCUCUGGUCGGGGUGAGCUUUUUCGAGGGUAGGGUAUCAUGUUAUCAGCUUGCUAAACACCGGAUAUUUGGCAUCAUCUCUCACUCGUGUAGUGUAGGAUCGCUUGCUCUCGGAGCACUUUUGAACUGGCGUUAUGCUACCCCCCCGACACCACACACACACACACACAUUCACGGUCGAGAUUAGAGCGCCACCACGAACUGGCAAGUGGCAAACGGUUGAAAUGAACCAGGAAAAGAUCCACUGCCGACAUGGGGACACAAGGUACAGAGAGGGUGGUGAUGGUUUGGGGUGAAAAAUUCAAUUUGUUUAGACGCGACUUUUAACAAACUGCAACCGAUACAACAAUACGUGUGGGUCACCGGGAGAGGUUGGUGUGAAACACAAGAAAAACAAAUUCGACAACACACCGACCGGCAGUCGGAUGCAGUGCGAGGAGGGCAAAGAGCAAUGCAACGAGCGAUGCGAUGCAAAUGCAAUUUUUAGAAAACAUGUUUUGUUGUGGCUUUUCCUUUUUUUUUUUUGUUAGUGUUUUUUAUCAUUCACUGACACAACAAACGGGAGUUUUCUUUUUGGUUUCGCUACUGAGCGCGAGAAGAGUACAGACGGAUAAAGUUUGUUCGUGUGGCAUCUUCAUCACGGGACAGUUUGUGGGCUAUCUCAUUGCAGUUGAAGGGAUGGGAAAUAACACCCAAAAUAAAAACACUCACCCCCCAACACGUAGUAUGGUUGUUUCGAGUUCUCCCCACCAAAAAAACGGUGGACACCAACAAAAAAAAAAAACCCACACGAACGGCAAAGUAUUCUGCUACGUACCCAGUCCCGCGGUUAAAUGGCGAUGGCGAUGUAUCGCACGAGCAUCUAAAAUUAAAACCAUCGUCAUCGACGAAACCAGCCAUUUUCGAAGCGAGCUGCCUGAACCGCCGAGGUGACAUUAGUGCGGUGACGUUUGGCCGUUCGCGUUCGUUAGCGAGUUUGCUAUUUGGGUUGUCGUACACAAGAUCGUUUAGAUUUCGCUUUCCGCGCCAGGCGACUUGCGAAAAACGCGACCUCGCGUUGAAAAUCUCGUUCGUACCAUGCAAAUCAACCUGGGGACGUGGUUGGACGUGACGCCGGAGGUUGUGGGGUAGCGGUGCCAGCGGCGGGGAUAUCAUCAUUUUCGACUCGGUGGCGACGGACGGUUCUUCUCGGUGGAAAUUCUCACGCGAACGCGCACCAGAAGCGGGAAGGCGAGAAGAUUGAGUGAGAAGGAAAUAUGGACGACGCGGUCCCCAAAAUUGAUUGCUCCACCGCAGUGCUCUCCGCGCAGUGCAAAAGUGUCAAAAUGAGGCUGCGAGAAAACCCGCGCACAGUAAGGAUAACGCACCAAUGGCGUGCGAACGGGACAGCGCGAGAUUGGGGCCGCGAUGCGAUGCACAUCCGCCGAGAGGAGCACACGAGUGGUCCUUCCCUUCCAAGCCGAAGCGAUCGAACAAGGAACGAGAGAGAGAGAGAGCGAGCGAGCGAUAGAGGCAGCGAACCCGGACGCGCGCGCCUGCUCUGGGAGGCGUCAAGUAAAAGUUUCACUUGUACGUAGUAGUGUAGAACGACUAUUAAAUCUAUUGUUUCACAUCCAUUUUUAUGACCCUUUGGUGGUUCGGAGAGCGGACUGCGUGGAACCGAAAAACGACACGGUGUUAAAAGUGUUUGCCGGCGAACCUCAUCGUCUCACAGUCCUUGCCGCACUGUUCGCCGCGUUCGACGCAAGGAUUUAAGGCUGUCUGGGUGUAUGAGUGUGUGUGUGUGUGAGAGAGAGUGAGGAUGUUUUAAGUUUUUGCAGACUGGAGCAGACUCUUGACGCUGAAUAGUUUGUACGGAAUCAUCCGCUUCCAUUAAGUUGAUGCUCCCAUUUUCUUACCUCCUCCCCGCCCAGAAGCGGCAGUAAAGGGUGACACACUGCCGGCGGAUGUCGAAUGAAAGUGACUUUUGCAGCGAAAAGGGAAAACUUUUUACCGCCGCAAGGUGGAAAAUGAAUUUAGUUUUCCCGACCCUUACCGAUGGAAGGUUUAAGGAACUUUCGCUACGGAUUUCGGAUUCUACUUGCCUCUAGCAGGCAGUCAGUCAAGGAUUGUAGACCGCUGGCACAAUGGCUUUGUUUUAAAGUUUAGAUUUUCCCUCAACUUGGUGCCGUCGUCUUCGCCGAAACAGCUGUGAAAAGGGUAAGAACUCUGUUACGGGAAAAGCGUGUGCUUUGAUUACCGUGCAACCGCUAGGAGUGACUAUGCAAAUAGAAGAGUUUUCUUUCACUUUGGAAACCAAUCUAAUCAAAAAUUGUGCUAACAGUGUUUUAGAUAAAAUUGGUAUCCUGUUUUGUAGAGUGAAAAGGCAAUAAAUAUAAAGUCUAGAAAUUUAAUUUACCUUCUUGCGAUUAUUGGUUUUUCUUCGUUUAAUCAUAACACAAGUCCAAGAUAUUUUCCGUCUUCCUAGUACAACAAACUGCACUAUUGCUUCUUGAAUUACUUUCAUAACUUCGUAUCGAAAGUCAUCCGGAGGAGAUUGCCUUCACAAAGUGUGCCAAAUAUCAUGAAGACUUUGAGUCCUGGACCUGCAUCAAUUAUAGCUGUUCAAGAAAACAUGAAUCAGCAUCAAGAGACAUAGAAAUAUCGUAGAGAGAUCAACUUUGAUCAAUGUCUUAGGUGGUUGACCGAUUAUCAACUUUGAAUCCUACUGCGAUACUUGGUUGGCAGUUGUCUAUCUCUUAAAAUUAUAUCAGGAGCUAAGAAGUUGAAAGCACUUAAAAUAGCCAUAAUUGUCAAUAAUCUUUCAUCAAGAAACCCAGUACUGUCAUGCUUCUUCAUCUAGUCCAGCAAAAUGGGCAAGGGACAUGAUUCCACCGUCUUCCAAGCUCGUUAAAUUCGUUUUCCAAUUUAUCCUCGAAUGAGUUCGCUCCAAUCAUGUAAUCUAGUCUUCUAAAUAUUGCCCGUAAAACGUAUCCAUUAGCGGUUUUGCAUUAGCACCGAAUUAGCGCAGUGUACAACUAGCGUACAACCAUAGUCCAUUAUCGCAGCGAGGCAAAUUGCACCGAAAUUGGAGCGACAUGCAAACAACAACUCGCAACGUAUGUUUCGAAAUGCACACCGAUUGUAUCAGAUAAACAACAAAACUGAGACAAUAAACGGUGGAGAGCAGCAGGAGAGAGCAAAAAAAAAA